Heterocephalus glaber (naked mole-rat) is the source of this 3861-nucleotide long non-coding RNA. Lineage: Eukaryota; Metazoa; Chordata; Mammalia; Rodentia; Bathyergidae. The record is from Ensembl.
CUGGGCAAUUUAAAAAUAGGGUCAAAUGGAGCGUUUAUCCUGGUCUGCCAGCCAGGAGCAGGAGAAGAUUGCCUCCCAAAGGUCAGAUGACUAACAUGAUCGGGCCAACGGUCCAGGAGGGAUCAAACUCCGGACCUUCCUUGAAAGUUAUUUGGAUAGAUGAUAUUGGCACAUUGUUUAAAAUUCAAGAACUGAAGAGCACAGAGUGAAGAAUAAAUCUCCUUUUCUUAUCACCCAUCUCUGUCUCCUACUGUUGCUUGUUUCUUAUGUAUCCUUUUAAAAACAGCACAAUAGGUAUUGUGGAUUGUGUUUGUACAUGUUUGUGUAUUACGGGGAUGAGCGUAGUUAAUAUAUAUGUGUGUAUCUCUACAUGUAUAUCACUUUCUGCAUAUGUAUAUAUUUAUAACAUGAAUAUAUGUACAUAUUAUUUUAACCUUUUACAAAUGUGUGUGUUGAGGAACUUUUCAUUUAUUUAUUGAUUUAUUGAUGUAUUGACUUAUUGAUUGUGUCAGGGAUAGAACUCUGGGACUCAUACAUGUUAGGCAAGUGCUCUACACUGAGCUCCAAUCCCAGCCUUGCUUUAGUUUUUGUUGUAGUUGUUUUGUUUUUGAGACAGGUUCUCUAUGUAGCUCAGGCUGGCCUAGAACUAGAACCUCCUGCCUCAGCUUCCAGGGUGGGAUUAUAGGCACGUAUCAGUACACCCCCCAAUCUUGCACCAGUUUUUAAAAAUGGCUGCAUAGUGUUUAGUUUUAUAGAUAUAUGUCAAUUUAUUUACUGAGUGCUUUGUUGGUAUAUCAUUCUCUAAAUUCUUUUUUUUUUCCUGAACAAAGUGCAUGCAUGCUACUGAGCACACUGGGCCAAAGGACAUGUACAUCGAAAACAUUGACAGAGGGUGUGGAACUUCCUCAUAUCAAUAUGCACCCUCAUAAUGAGGAAAAGAAUGGGAGAAGAGGGAGUGGGAAGUAGAAGAGGAGGGUGGAGCAGCAGGACAGUGGAGCGUCAGAUGGCGAGAUGCCAGUGGAGUAGUCCCUGCCCUGACCAGGUCCAGGGUGUGGACCCAGCAGGAAGUUGCUGGUAUGGGGUGGAGGAGAGGUGAAGGUCAAUGAGCAGAGGAUGUCCAGGAACUGUGAGAAGAAUGAGUCACCAAGAUGAUGGGGCAGCCUGUCUUCCCUGGUGGGUUCAUCAUCAUCAUCAUCGUCACUCACGAAACACAGCCAUGGUAGCUGUCACUUCCCUUUCAAACUAGCAGGAGAAGGACAGGUGCCUCUUGGUCCUCUUUCUACUCUAUGGGCAGCAAACUUCACACUUGAGUUCACUCAAGAGGAAGCACAUUGAUCAACAUGGCCACCUCGGGGGACAGGCAAUGAUGUUUCCAUUUUUUAUGAUGGCAUCUGGGGCAGUGAGACAGGCAGGGCUGUUUUCCCAGCUCCUCCUGCUUCAAUGAAUACCAAUUAGGCCUGUGGAUAAUUUGUUUGACAUCUUCAGUCCCCAGAGUGUUUCUGACUGACAUCAUCAAAUCAACCCUGGCUUGAGGAGCCCCUUCCUAGAGUUAAUGUAGAGACUUGGUUAGGAAUUGUGUUCAACAGCAGGUAGCAGAGACUGGGAAAUCAAUGGUGAAAACCAGAGAUGGGUAUUUUUCUCUAAUGUAACAUAGAGUCCAGGGACAAGUAUGUUACAAAAGUCACAGUAACUUCAGAAAGUCAUUGGUGUCUCAAGCUCCUUUGUUCUUCUGCUCUGAUCUUAGCCGAAAGGCCGAGAAGCAUCUGCUCUGCUUCUCUAGAGCCAACUUUAUUUUCCAGCUUCUGGAAUGGCUGCUGGAGCUCUAGCCCUUGCGCCUAUUUUCCAUGCUGGAAGCCAGAGGUAGAGAUUAAGGCAAAAGGGAGCGUGCCUGAUGUCUUCCACCUCAUCUUCUAACAAGCUAUCCCAGAAGCUCCACUCAGUAUUGGAAUCUUGCGUCUCAUUGAAUGGUUUACCCUGAUGUCACCCCCUGUUUCUACAGGGAACCCGGGAAAUGGAUUUUUAGCUGGGUUUAUUGCUGCCCCCAACAAAUCAGGGUUUUGUUCACAAACAAAAAGAAACAAAUGGAUGUUGGCUAGGCAACUAGCAGCCUCUUGCAGAUGUCAUGGACAUUUUACACUUUAAAAAUUAUAUUUUAUUUUUUAUUGUGAUAAAAUACAUAAUUUUACCAUUUAACCAUUUUUCAGUGUACACUGGCAUUAAGUACAUUCCUAAUUUGUAAACUUCACCACUAUCUAUUUCCAGAGCUUCCAUAGCAAAUGGUAGCACUGCAUUCAUUAAAUAAUAACACCUCAUUCCCUUCUCCUCAGACACCAGUAACUUCUGUGUUAUUGUCCAUCAUCAUUUAGGUGGAAUCAUAUAAUAUUUGUCCUUCUGUGUCUGGCUAAUUUCAGUUAGCAUAGUGUUUUCAAGGUUUGUUCAUACUGAAGCAAGUACCAAACUUCAUUUUUUUUUUAUUGCUGAAUUACUUCCCAUUUGAUGGAUAUAAUAAAUUUUGAUUCUUCAUCCAUCUGUCUCUGAACAUUUGCAGUGUUUCCAGCUUUUGGCUGCGUGUGUAAGCUGCUAGGAAUACUGGUAUGAAAGAAUCUGCUUGGGUCCCUGUAUACACCUGGGUAAUGUGGUAAUUCUAUGUCUAACUUCUGAGUAUUUUCCAAACAGACUUUACAUUUUCUAUUCUAUUUAGUCUUCACAGACUUGGAGGUUGUCUCCUCUGGGUCCCAGUGACCUCCCCAGUUGGGGAUACUGCACGCUGCCCCCAGUAGGGGAUUCUAGUGUAGUAGGCACUGAUGUGUGCUUGAUGGAGCCAUGCCUGUUUUAGAAGUGAGAAACAAAUGUAGGAGGCUAAGUCAAUGGCCUGUCCUGUUAUUAUUCUCUUGGUAAUCAGAAUUCCCCCAUCUCAAUUCCUGGCCCUGCCCUUAGGGAGUUUCCCACGAAUUUGUGGGAAGCCUUAUGGGUCUAGAUUCCUCCAGAAGUAUGGACUUGUGAAGCCCUCACCAGGAGGUUCCAGGCAGGAACUAUGUCCAUCCCCUUGCUCACUCUUAAAUCAACCUGUCACCACCUUAGCAAGGAGAGAGCAGAUGAACUGAAUUUAUUCCACAUUGCAACGGCAGUUCAGAAUGAGCCAUAGCACAGUGGGGAAGGAAAUGGUUUCCCAAGCCAGGUCGCUUGACUUCAAAUCCCAACUUGCUAUGUUUUUGUAGUGUGAUCUUUAUUUAACUUCCCUAACCCUCAGCUUCGUCAGCUGAAGAUGGUGGAUUAAUAAUAAAGCUUUUACUUACUUCACAUGAUUGCUGAGUAUUGCCUGCAUUCACACAUCACUCCAGAAGCAUUCUGCACAUGUGUCAGUAGUCUCAACACACUUAUACCAAUGAUGUCAAUUCACACUGCAACAGUUAACAGCAAACAGAUUCUUAUUCUGGAAAUAAAAACUAAAACCUCAAAAAGAGCUGAAAUGGAGCUCGGUGAUAGAGCACUUGUCUAGUGUGUUCAAGGCCCUGGGUUCAAUCUCCAGGACUAAAAACAAAAACAAAUGAACAAAAAAGAACAAAACUAGGAGUACAAAAAUGAAAGAAGAAGCCGUAAGAGAUACAGCCAGAUAGAUUGAAAAGUCACUUGAUUUUAUCUUUGGCCUAACAGCACAGGCUGGAAAAGGCUAACCGGUUGGCCUGUUCUUCCUCACCUGCCAGCUGUGGUUCAUUCUACCAAGUUUAUGCCAUCAUUGUGAGGAUUUACUGAGGUAAAGAUCAGGUUUGAGAAACGAUUAUCACUAAAUAAACACAUCAAGACAAGUAGCAACCUGAAGUAGCCAAUCAGCUCUGGGCUGUAAAACUGAGGAAGAUCGUA